AUGAGGAAACUGAGUGUCAGGUAGCGGCGGACGGGUGAGUAACGCGUGGGAAACCUACCUUGUAGAGGGGGAUAGCCUCGGGAAACCGGGAUUAAUACCCCAUAAAGCUUACGCUUCGCAUGGAGCAGUAAGUCAAAGCGAUCAAGCGCUACAAGAUGGCCCCGCGUCCCAUUAGCUAGUUGGUGAGAUAACAGCCCACCAAGGCGACGAUGGGUAGCCGACCUGAGAGGGUGAUCGGCCACACUGGGACUGAGACACGGCCCAGACUCCUACGGGAGGCAGCAGUGGGGAAUAUUGCGCAAUGGGGGGAACCCUGACGCAGCAACGCCGCGUGAGCGAAGAAGGCCUUCGGGUCGUAAAGCUCUGUCUAGAGGGAUGAUAGUGACAGUACCUCUGGAGGAAGCCCCGGCUAACUACGUGCCAGCAGCCGCGGUAAUACGUAGGGGGCAAGCGUUGUCCGGAUUUACUGGGCGUAAAGGGCGCGUAGGCGGUAGAAUAAGUCAGAUGUGAAAGUCCAGGGCUCAACCCUGGAAUUGCAUUUGAAACUGUACUACUUGAGU
RNAcentral lists this ribosomal RNA (560 nucleotides) under uncultured bacterium. Its description in RNAcentral is "bacterial SSU rRNA". It matches the Rfam family "Bacterial small subunit ribosomal RNA", at positions 74 to 647 of the family's 1533-position model. The record is from RNAcentral.